Molecule: ribosomal RNA, 1248 nt
Filed under: Candidatus Phytoplasma citri
Lineage: Bacteria; Bacillati; Mycoplasmatota; Mollicutes; Acholeplasmatales; Acholeplasmataceae
Description: bacterial SSU rRNA
Rfam family: Bacterial small subunit ribosomal RNA
Source: RNAcentral
ACGACUGCUGCUAAGACUGGAUAGGAAGAUAAAAGGCAUCUUGUAUCUUUUAAAAGACCUAGUUAAUAGGUAUGCUUUAGGAGGGGCUUGCGCCAUAUUAGUUAGUUGGUAGGGUAAUGGCCUACCAAGACGAUGAUGUGUAGCUGGACUGAGAGGUUGAACAGCCACAUUGGGACUGAGACACGGCCCAAACUCCUACGGGAGGCAGCAGUAGGGAAUUUUCGGCAAUGGAGGAAACUCUGACCGAGCAACGCCGCGUGAAUGACGAAGUACUUCGGUAUGUAAAGUUCUUUUAUCGAGGAAGAAAAGCAAAUGGCGAACCAUUUGUUUGCCGGUACUUGAUGAAUAAGCCCCGGCUAAUUAUGUGCCAGCAGCCGCGGUAAGACAUAAGGGGCAAGUGUUAUCCGGAAUUAUUGGGCGUAAAGGGUGCGUAGGCGGUCUAGUAAGUCAGUGGUGUAAUGUCAACGCUUAACGUUGUCCGGCUAUUGAAACUGCUAAACUUGAGUUAGAUAGAGGCGAGUGGAAUUCCAUGUGUAGCGGUAAAAUGCGUAAAUAUAUGGAGGAACACCAGAGGCGUAGGCGGCUUGCUGGGUCUUAACUGACGCUGAGGCACGAAAGCGUGGGGAGCAAACAGGAUUAGAUACCCUGGUAGUCCACGCCGUAAACGAUGAGUACUAAGUGUCGGGUUAAACCGGUACUGAAGUUAACACAUUAAGUACUCCGCCUGAGUAGUACGUACGCAAGUAUGAAACUUAAAGGAAUUGACGGGACUCCGCACAAGCGGUGGAUCAUGUUGUUUAAUUCGAAGAUACCCGAAAAACCUUACCAGGUCUUGACAUGUUUUUGCAAAAUGAUAGUAAUAUCGUGGAGGUUACCAGAAACACAGGUGGUGCAUGGUUGUCGUCAGCUCGUGUCGUGAGAUGUUAGGCUAAGUCCUAAAACGAGCGAAACCCUUAUCGUUAGUUGCCAGCACGUUAUGGUGGGGACUUUAACGAGACUGCCAAUGAUAAAUUGGAGGAAGGUGAGGAUCACGUCAAAUCAGCAUGCCCCUUAUGACCUGGGCUACAAACGUGAUACAAUGGCUGUUACAAAGGGUAGCUGAAACGCAAGUUCUUGGCCAAUCCCCAAAAACAGUCCCAGUCCGGAUUGAAGUCUGCAACUCGACUUCAUGAAGUUGGAAUCGCUAGUAAUCGCGAAUCAGCAUGUCGCGGUGAAUACGUUCGCGGGGUUUGUACACACCGCCCGUCA